ACGGAGGAGGCAAGCGUUAUCCGGAAUUACUGGGCGUAAAGCGUGCGUAGACGGCUAUCUAAGUCGGGUGUGAAAGCCCCGGGCUCAACCUGGGAAUUGCAUUCGAGACUGAAUAGCUAGGGUACGGUAGAGGGAAGUGGAAUUUCCGGUGUAGCGGUGAAAUGCGUAGAUAUCGGAAGGAACAUCAGUGGCGAAGGCGACUACCUGGACUGAUACUGACACUGAGGUGCGAAAGCGUGGGGAGCAAACAGGA
This 253-nucleotide ribosomal RNA is filed under the name uncultured prokaryote. Its description in RNAcentral is "partial 16S ribosomal RNA". It matches the Rfam family "Bacterial small subunit ribosomal RNA", at positions 525 to 777 of the family's 1533-position model. The record is from RNAcentral.